Molecule: long non-coding RNA, 456 nt
Organism: Osmia bicornis bicornis
Lineage: Eukaryota; Metazoa; Arthropoda; Insecta; Hymenoptera; Megachilidae
Exons: 3
Source: RefSeq, a predicted model, not a curated record
UCAUUGGUUCGAUUCGUAUUAACGAAAAUUCCCGCCGUAAUGUAUGUAGCUCGUGCUAAAAUGCGUUUCGCCUGAUUACAUUUUUGACGUUAACUCAUUUUUUAAUGAUCAUAAAUGAUUACAUACGUUGAUUUAUGUAAACUGACUUGCUGAAGAAAUUGAUGGAAUAUUUCUAAAUCGAUUGGAGAAAAGUAUUAAAACAGAGAAAGGAUAUCUUUUUAAAUAUUUACAUACAUACAUAAAAUAGGGAAAAAACAUACCAAAUCUUUGUAUAUCGUCCAGUGCAUCGUCCUUCCAAAUUUUGUUCUCAUCAGAAAAUUUGAAUUCUUCAAAAUCUGGAUCUAAUGAAUUGUUCAUUUCCAAUCUGUUUUAACCUCUCGUGUUGUAUUUUAUCCUCAUACUUCAUUGAGGGGAAGAAGCGUCGAUAAGAAGUUUUCCGGGUAUAGCUUUUCCAUU